Molecule: long non-coding RNA, 1648 nt
Organism: Alligator mississippiensis (American alligator)
Lineage: Eukaryota; Metazoa; Chordata; Crocodylia; Alligatoridae
Exons: 5
Source: RefSeq, a predicted model, not a curated record
CCUCCCCUUGUGCAUGUGCUGCAAGCACAUCUUACCCGUAUUCACUCCCACAUAGCACGAGGGACACAGAGUCCUGUUUCUUGCAGUCUGCUGUUGCACUGCCGAGUUUAUCUGAUUGGGAUGGCAGGGACAGAAAUCCUGAGCCGUUCAAGCCUUUCAAUUCAGUUAGUGCAGGGAUGUAAUCCAGAACUGGCUGGGUGAGUGAUUUUGGCUUGGGUCAGGGUAAAUAUCUGGACUCAUGUGCAUGACAGCAAGGCAAUCAACUGAAAUCUCCAAGUGGAAGCCUGCAGAAAUUAAAGGUGCAGGAGGUGCUUGUGGUGACGUGCGAAUGCCUGGCUGCCUCUGGAAAUGACCUGUGCUGAAUCAAGUGAGCCAGCUAACCUGAUUUCGUCCAGUGGGUCCCACUUUCCAUCCCAGAAGCUGGAGCAAUGCGUGGAGUAGAAGGACUCAACCAAUGCCCAUCCUGCAAGAGGCUCAGUGUUUGACUUUUAGCUGUUGCGGGGUACUAUGCCACGUUAAUGCCGGAUCACAGGCAAGCAGGGCUGGAAGGGACCUCACAAGAUCAUCUAAUCCAGCCUCCUGCUCAAGGCAGCAUUGUCCCUGACUGAACCAUCCCAGCCAAGUGUUCGUCCAACUUGUUUUUGAAGAUGUCCGGGGUGGAGAUUCCACAACUUCUCCAGGCAAAGAAUCCCGGGAGAGAGCUGCAAAGGUCUAUGGGAUACAACUGUGACGGGCUCACUGGUUGUGAUUUAGCCCAGGGAUUUUGAAAGGGUAAAAGAUGAUUGGAGGGCUUGGGAUUCCCUUUCCUCACCAAUCAGGCCCCAGAGACUCACCCUCUAUGUCCCCUGAUUGGCCCCUCGGGUAACCUGGAGGGGGAUAAAAGGGGCAGCGCAGCUGACUCAGGAGAGACCAGUGAGGGACCACAAGGAAGGAGAUUCAAAGAGCUGGCAAGAGCUGGGCCAGUGGGGUGGGAGCAGUUACCCCAGAAGCACCUGAAAGAGUGGGACCUGCAGGCAGCAGUUGGACCCUCAGCAGCGCAGCGUGCGGCCGGCAGGAGGGGCUCCCUGCUGGGCUCCAGGAACCCCUACGAGAGGCUAUGGCCAGCAGGAGAGGCUCCCCAGCUCCAGCAAGGAUCUGAGCAGUGACCUGAGAGGUUCCCAGCUCAGCUUCCAGCUUCUCCAAUCGGAGGCCAGGCAGCUCAACAUGAGGCCAGGGCUCCAGGAAAGUCAAGACUCCUAGCAGCUUGGAGCAGUACCAGCACUGGUGUCUGUGUGGUAGGGUUCUGCCUACCACAUGGGAGAGAUGAGUUCAAGUCCCAGCUGGGUGACUUGGGGUGAAUGAAGUGACAGGGAGAAAUUCUUGUUGCAGUGGAAAGGGGUCAUUGUGUUUUCCCUCUUUCUCCCCACCCCCCGCCAGGUACCUCGGCCUUUUAUAUUUCGCCAGCCAGUAUUGUUUGUUCUGCUGUUGUGUUUUACAUUUUGGUUAACCCUGUCUUUUGUCAACUGGAUGAAUAUGUCUAUGAUUGUAAGUGCCUAACCUUUGUUGAAUCCUGUCCCCUUGGGGUGUUGUAGUGUCCGCUAUACCCCUGGUUUAUACCGGUUAUGUUCCCACUAUUGUUCUCUCAUUAAAAGGUAUAUGGUUAAGUCCC